AAAAAGGCUCAUUGUAUUUAAAUUUACUCUCUGCUGAUAAGGCAGAGUUUAUCUUCAUUUCUGAAGGAUUUUGAAAAACAAAAUUGAUUAAUACAUUGGAUUCAAAAGUUUUUGCUGAAAAAGUACCUCACAUUUUAAUAUAUAUUACCUUAAUGGUCAUAAUCUUGUGCGAGAUGAAGAAGAGAAUAGUGUUCGAGCCAGUGAAUGAACGACUUUUAUUUUAUAAAAGCUAUAAAUUUCUCAGCCCGUGGCCUCAACAUAGCCGGACAGAUUUGAAGAUUCCAACACCUGCCCAGGCAAAAUUAAAGGCUGGCUUUAGAGGAAAGCACAAGACAUACACAUUCAAGUAGAUGUACAGUUAUAAGUAUGAGUACAAUAACUAUUUAUUAAAGUUUAAGUACAUCCGGCGAA
Long non-coding RNA from Leptinotarsa decemlineata (Colorado potato beetle), 411 nucleotides. RefSeq lists it as uncharacterized. The record is from RefSeq and is a predicted model, not a curated record. Lineage: Eukaryota; Metazoa; Arthropoda; Insecta; Coleoptera; Chrysomelidae.